CAGACGGGUGAGUAACGCGUGGGAACGUACCCUUUGGUUCGGAAUAGCCCUUGGAAACGAGGAGUAAUACCGAAUGAGCCCUACGGGGGAAAGAUUUAUCGCCGAAGGAUCGGCCCGCGUUAGAUUAGCUAGUUGGUGAGGUAAUGGCUCACCAAGGCGACGAUCUAUAGCUGGUUUGAGAGGAUGAUCAGCCACACUGGGACUGAGACACGGCCCAGACUCCUACGGGAGGCAGCAGUGGGGAAUCUUGGACAAUGGGGGAAACCCUGAUCCAGCCAUGCCGCGUGAAUGAUGAAGGCCUUAGGGUUGUAAAAUUCUUUCAGUGGGGAAGAUAAUGACGGUACCCACAGAAGAAGCCCCGGCUAACUCCGUGCCAGCAGCCGCGGUAAUACGGAGGGGGCUAGCGUUGUUCGGAAUUACUGGGCGUAAAGCGCGCGUAGGCGGACUAGCCAGUCAGAGGUGAAAGCCCAGGGCUCAACCCUGGAACUGCCUUUGAUACUGUUAGUCUGGAGUCCGGGAGAGGUGUGUGGAAUUCCGAGUGUAGAGGUGAAAUUCGUAGAUAUUCGGAGGAACACCAGAGGCGAAGGCGGCACACUGGA
RNAcentral lists this ribosomal RNA (599 nucleotides) under Marinicauda pacifica. Its description in RNAcentral is "bacterial SSU rRNA". It matches the Rfam family "Bacterial small subunit ribosomal RNA", at positions 99 to 733 of the family's 1533-position model. Lineage: Bacteria; Pseudomonadati; Pseudomonadota; Alphaproteobacteria; Maricaulales; Maricaulaceae. The record is from RNAcentral.